Molecule: small nuclear RNA, 106 nt
Organism: Antechinus flavipes (yellow-footed antechinus)
Lineage: Eukaryota; Metazoa; Chordata; Mammalia; Dasyuromorphia; Dasyuridae
Source: RefSeq, a predicted model, not a curated record
GUGCUUGCUUUGGUAGCACAUAUAUUAAAAUUGGAACAAUACAUAGAAAAUUAGCAUGACCCCUGCAGAAAGAGGCAUGCAAAUUCAUGAAGAAUUCCAUAUUUUU